This 305-nucleotide ribosomal RNA is filed under the name uncultured bacterium. Its description in RNAcentral is "bacterial SSU rRNA". It matches the Rfam family "Bacterial small subunit ribosomal RNA", at positions 338 to 641 of the family's 1533-position model. The record is from RNAcentral.
CCUACGGGAGGCAGCAGUGAGGAAUAUUGGUCAAUGGACGGAAGUCUGAACCAGCCAUGCCGCGUGCAGGAAGACGGCUCUAUGAGUUGUAAACUGCUUUUGUACAAGGGUAAACCUGAAUACGUGUAUUCAGCUGAAAGUACUGUACGAAUAAGGAUCGGCUAACUCCGUGCCAGCAGCCGCGGUAAUACGGAGGAUCCAAGCGUUAUCCGGAUUUAUUGGGUUUAAAGGGUGCGUAGGCGGUCCGUUAAGUCAGCGGUAAAAUUGCGGGGCUCAACCCCGUCGAGCCGUUGAGACUGGCAGAC